RNAcentral lists this ribosomal RNA (253 nucleotides) under uncultured bacterium. Its description in RNAcentral is "partial 16S ribosomal RNA". It matches the Rfam family "Bacterial small subunit ribosomal RNA", at positions 524 to 776 of the family's 1533-position model. The record is from RNAcentral.
UACAGAGGUGGCAAGCGUUGUUCGGAAUUACGUGGCGUAAAGGGCGAGUAGGCGGCCUUCUAAGUCAGACGUGAAAUCCCCCGGCUUAACCUGGGAACUGCGUCUGAUACUGGGAGGCUCGAGUAUGGGAGAGGGAUGUAGAAUUCCAGGUGUAGCGGUGAAAUGCGUAGAUAUCUGGAGGAAUACCGGUGGCGAAGGCGGCAUCCUGGACCAUUACUGACGCUGAAUCGCGAAAGCUAGGGGAGCAAACGGG